Molecule: ribosomal RNA, 466 nt
Filed under: uncultured sponge symbiont PAWS72
Lineage: Bacteria
Description: bacterial SSU rRNA
Rfam family: Bacterial small subunit ribosomal RNA
Source: RNAcentral
GGCGCGCCUAACACAUGCAAGUCGAACGACUCAGGGUCUUCGGACUCUGAGUAACGUGGCGGACGGGUGAGUAACGCGUGGGUAAUGUGCCCUUUGGUGGGGGAUAACUCGUGGAAACGCGGGGGAAUACCGCAUAAGGCCGCAAGGGAUACCUUGCGGGGAAAGGCUUCGGUCGCCGAUGGAGCAGCCCGCGUCCGAUUAGCUAGUUGGUGAGGUAAGGGCUCACCAAGGCCACGAUCGGUAGCCGGUCUGAGAGGAUGAACGGCCACACUGGGACUGAGACACGGCCCAGACUCCUACGGGAGGCAGCAGUGGGGAAUUUUGGGCAAUGGGGGAAACCCUGACCCAGCGACGCCGCGUGGAGGAGGAAGGCUUUCGAGUCGUAAACUCCUGUUCUUGGGGACGAUAAUGACGGUACCCAAGGAGAAAGCCCCGGCUAACUCCGUGCCAGCAGCCGCGGUAAUAC